This is a long non-coding RNA of Fukomys damarensis (Damara mole-rat), 603 nucleotides long. RefSeq lists it as uncharacterized. The record is from RefSeq and is a predicted model, not a curated record. Lineage: Eukaryota; Metazoa; Chordata; Mammalia; Rodentia; Bathyergidae. The transcript is spliced from 3 exons.
UACUAGUGAGAAGAGAAUAGAGGUGAACUAAACAGGAAAUGAUGCGUUCGUGCCAAAUGAAGGCCAAAUGACAUCGCAGAGGGCUGUACAAAGUAGUGCAAGGAGAGAGAGGAAAGCGGUUUGCAAACCGAGUGAGCACACGAGGUAGUAAUGUGGGUACGUGGAGCUCUGGGCACCGGGUCUGCACCAGCAGGACGGAACUCAGGCUGCAAACUGUGACUGAGCUUCCACCAGACGUGACUCAUGGCUGCAUGCUGGCGUUGUAUUGCGUUUGUAUUUGAAUCUGCUUUUAGUUGGAUGGUUUCUGUACAUUGCUCAAGUUCGAAGACCACUGCACAGAAUGAAUGGGUCCACCAACUUUGCUUGCUCUGGGGAAACCUUCAGAUUAAGAAUCUAAAGACUGCAAAUGAAGGGGAUUUAAAAAGAGUUGAAGAAAAACAUGGAAAUGGAGCUUUUGCAAUUGGGGAGGCAGGAGCACAGAGGGACAGGAGGGGAAGAGAAACAAAAAAGAUCUAAAGUGUGUUGUGUACAAGCGCAAACUCCCCACGACAAACGCAACCAUUAUGAAUGAAACAUAAACAUGUACUAAUAAAAAAUCUUAAA